UGCAUGCGAAGGCGCAAGCCGCUGUAUAUGCACUGACGCCUGCCCGGUGCCGGAAGGUUAAGAGGAUCCGUCAGCCUUCGGGUGAAGCGGUGAAUUCAAGCCCCGGUAAACGGCGGUGGUAACUAUAACCAUCCUAAGGUAGCGAAAUUCCUUGUCGGGUAAGUUCCGACCUGCACGAAUGGCGUAACGACUUCCCCACUGUCUCGACCAGGAGCUCGGCGAAAUUGCAGUACGAGUAAAGAUGCUCGUUAAGCGCAGAAGGACGAAAAGACCCCGGGACCUUUACUAUACCUUGGUAUUGGCAUUCGGUGUGGAUUGUGUAGCAUAGGCGGGAGGCCGAGAGGCGCGGUCGCCAGAUCGCGCGGAGCCGUAAGGUGAAAUACCGCUCUGUUCGCAUUGGAUGUCUAACCUCGAACAGUCAUCCUGUUCAGGGACAGUGCCUGGUGGGUAGUUUGACUGGGGCGGUCGCCUCCAAAAGAGUAACGGAGGCGCCCAAAGGUCCGCUCAGCCCGGUUGGCAAUCGGGCUGGCGAGUGCAAGUGCACAAGCGCGCUUGACUGCGAGGACGACGGUCCGAGCAGGGACGAAAGUCGGGACUAGUGAUCCGGUGCCGGUGUACGGACGCGGCAUCGCUCAACGGAUAAAAGGUACCCCGGGGAUAACAGGCUGAUCAUUCCCAAGAGUCCAUAUCGACGGGAUGGUUUGGCACCUCGAUGUCGGCUCGUCGCAUCCUGGGGCUGGAGAAGGUCCCAAGGGUUGGGCUGUUCGCCCAUUAAAGUGGCACGCGAGCUGGGUUCAGAACGUCGUGAGACAGUUUGGUCUCUAUCCUCUGCGCUCGUUGGAAUGCUGAGGAGGCCUGCCCAUAGUACGAGAGGACCUGGGUGGACGAACCUCUGGUAUGCCGGUUGUCACGCCAGUGGCACGGCCGGUUGGCUACGUUCGGAAGGGAUAACCGCUGAAAGCAUCUAAGCGGGAAGCCUGCUCCAAGAUAAGCAUUCCAUAGGACUACGGGUCCUUGAAGUCCCCAUGCAGAACACGUGGUUGAUAGGCCGGACGUGGAAGCCCCGCGAGGGGUGGAGCCGACCGGUACUAACGGACGAAAGGCAACACUAA
Molecule: ribosomal RNA, 1112 nt
Filed under: human gut metagenome
Description: bacterial LSU rRNA
Rfam family: Bacterial large subunit ribosomal RNA
Source: RNAcentral